AUUGGCUAUGCAAAUGAUUUAAUCAAAGAAUUGGUUUGAGAGUUUGUGUGAAUAUUGGUGUGAGUGCAUGUGACUAAUGUGGGUCAGGUUGUGAUAUCUGUGCCCAGAAACAGUUGUUUUGUCUGAUUGUGUGCAGGUGACUUGAGGUCAGCCUUGGUCAAUGGUAAGGACCGAGACUAUGCUCACGGAGGAGCAGAGGUCUAUUGCGGUCGGGAUACCAUGUGAGAAGGUGACUAGAGUCUGGAUUCUUGGAGGUCAACUUUGGUCAACGGUGGGGAUUGGGACUAGACUCAGGGAGGAGUUGAGGUCCAGACGGUCAAGGAUACCGGGUGACGAAGUUGGAUACAAGAUGGCAUACGGUGGAUGGAUAUCGUGUGGGAGAGAUCUUCGCAACGGGCUUCAUGAGGUGUGUGUGCAAGUACCGGUAUUCGCGAAGGGAAUUGUAAAGUUGGGGUAGUAUAUGGUGCUACAGUACACGAGGUACUGUAGCCUGCAGGUAUGCAUGCAUGUACGGUGCUGUACAGGUAUGUGUGAUCGAUACAUGCAUGGUGAAGCAUGUAUGUGUGCAUGACUGGUUGGCCGAGCAGCACGAGAGCGGCUCGGUGGGCUUCGGUGGCUGUUGGCGGCAUGCCAAGUCGGCCUAGGAGAAGCAAGGGUCCAGCUGGCAGCGAGUCGGAGAUGGUCACGCGUGGACGUCAGCUUGGGAGCGAAUCCGUUUUGGAUUUCUGGUGCGGCCAGUUGUUUGCUGCACGUUUGGAAAUUGUAAAACGUAUGGAAACUGAAGGAUGGAGUCCUAUUGUGUAUUAUUGUGUAUAGGAGUUUUACACCUACUUUGAGUAGGGGAUUUUUGUGGUAUAAAUAGAGAGGGAGCGUGAUGCUUCCUGUAUCGCUUUAGAGAGCAAUAGAGUUGAGUUUUGGUUUAGGGUUUCAAGUUUUGUCAAAAUUUUUGUAAGGAGUGCUGUUGUUGCACUUUGUAAACACAGAGAGAAGUAAUAAAGUCGUCAUCCACUUUAAGAGUUCUUCGAUUUGUGUUUCACCGGGUUUCGGCCGUCUAACCGGCAACUCACCGGUGGUCAGACCGGCGGCAUUGCGGCGGUCAGACCGGCGGGAGCGAGGCGGUCAGACUGGCGGCGGCGACAGGUGUGGAAAGCGACUUUGGCAGUCAGACCGGAGAUUCAACACCGGUCAGACCGGCGGCAUCCACUCGGUCAGACCGGUAGAUCAAUCUCGGUCAGACCGACUUCCGUCGAUUUCGAGGCUUCCUUCACAUGCUUCAUUCCGACGACUACAGCAAGGAAGCAAAGCAGCAGGAUGAAGGGAUCUGGCGAAGGCAGAUGAUUCACAUACAAAAAUGAUGGUGGCGAGAUGGCGGCGGCUUCGACUUCUCGGGAUAGCUACAGCGAGAACAACGGCAGUAGCUUCUCGAGACAGCUGCGGCGGCUGCCCGCACGGCAACAACGCGGCGGCGGCUGCUCGCGACGGCUGCGGCGACAACGCCUGCAGCAGCUUUGUCUGGCGACGGCUUCGUGCACGCGUGCAGUCGAAUGGAAUCCCCUCGUUCUUCCUGCGUGGAAGACGGAUUACAGUAGCAAACUGAAAUCGUGGAUGCGCCCGGACCUUAGCCGACCAAUUAUCUAUCUAUCUAUCGAUCUAUACUUAUACUUAUACUAAUUGGACACUUUCUACGAGCUCUCACGUUAUAGAAAAAA
Molecule: long non-coding RNA, 1709 nt
Organism: Oryza sativa Japonica Group (Japanese rice)
Lineage: Eukaryota; Viridiplantae; Streptophyta; Magnoliopsida; Poales; Poaceae
Source: RefSeq, a predicted model, not a curated record